RNAcentral lists this ribosomal RNA (468 nucleotides) under uncultured bacterium. Its description in RNAcentral is "partial 16S ribosomal RNA". It matches the Rfam family "Bacterial small subunit ribosomal RNA", at positions 28 to 507 of the family's 1533-position model. The record is from RNAcentral.
GACGAACGCUGGCGGCGUGCUUAACACAUGCAAGUCGAACGGAAAGGCCCUGCUUUUGUGGGGUGCUCGAGUGGCGAACGGGUGAGUAACACGUGAGUAACCUGCCCUUGACUUUGGGAUAACUUCAGGAAACUGGGGCUAAUACCGGAUAGGAGCUCCUGCUGCAUGGUGGGGGUUGGUAAGUUUCGGCGGUUGGGGAUGGACUCGCGGGUUAUCAGCUUGUUGGUGGGGUAGUGGCUUACCAAGGCUUUGACGGGUAGCCGGCCUGGGAGGGUGACCGGCCACAUUGGGACUAAGAUACGGCCCAGACUGCUACGGGAGGCAGCAGUGGGGAAUAUUGCACAAUGGGCGGAAGCCUGAUGCAGCAACGCCGCGUGCGGGAUGACGGCCUUCGGGUUGUAAACAGAUUUCGCCUGUGACGAAGAGUGAGUGACGGUAAUGGGUAAAGAAGCACCGGCUAACUACGUG